Long non-coding RNA from Ixodes scapularis (black-legged tick), 378 nucleotides. RefSeq lists it as uncharacterized. Lineage: Eukaryota; Metazoa; Arthropoda; Arachnida; Ixodida; Ixodidae. The record is from RefSeq and is a predicted model, not a curated record. The transcript has 3 exons.
UCUCGUUAAGGAGGCCAAUACGGCACUUAGAAGAGUGCAAUAUUCAUUGCUUGGGUCAACUUUGGCACAAAAAUACCCGGACAUGCUUUGGGACCGACCGAAACCUGGGACCAAGCUCUCAACGAGACGUCUCUGGAGUGUAUUCAUGUGCCGGUUAACAGCGAGGCGAAAGAUGAGGUACGCACGAGAAAAAAAAAGACAAGGCGCAGGCAAACAAUGGAGCGGAUCAGUAUGAUAUAGACACUCUAGCGCAGCAGUCCACCCCAGAUGCUCUCAAGGAACUGGAGUCCAUCGACUCUGCUGUCAAGUGCCCAGCCUCAGUAAAUGUGCCAUAUGUAGUCAAGCUCCUCAAAGUGACAUUUGAAGAGAGGAAAGGCA